AGCGAACGCUGGCGGCAGGCCUAACACAUGCAAGUCGAACGAACCUUUCGGGGUUAGUGGCGGACGGGUGAGUAACACGUGGGAACGUGCCUUUAGGUUCGGAAUAACUCAGGGAAACGUGUGCUAAUACCGAAUGUGCCCUUCGGGGGAAAGAUUUAUCGCCUUUAGAGCGGCCCGCGUCUGCUUAGCUAGUUGGUUGAGGUAAUGGCUCACCAAGGCGACGAUCAGUAGCUGGCCUGUGAGGAUGAGCAGCCACAUUGGGACGGGGACACGGCCCAAACUCCUACGCGAUGCAGCAGUGGGGAAUCUAGCGAAAUGGGCGAAAGCCUGACGCAGCCAUGCCGCGUGAAUGAUGAAGUUCUUAGGAAUGUAAAUUUCUUUCACCGGGGACGAUAAUGACGGUACCCGGAGAAGAAGCCCCGGCUAACUUCGUG
Molecule: ribosomal RNA, 434 nt
Filed under: uncultured bacterium
Lineage: Bacteria
Description: partial 16S ribosomal RNA
Rfam family: Bacterial small subunit ribosomal RNA
Source: RNAcentral